Molecule: ribosomal RNA, 675 nt
Filed under: uncultured bacterium
Lineage: Bacteria
Description: bacterial SSU rRNA
Rfam family: Bacterial small subunit ribosomal RNA
Source: RNAcentral
ACAUGCAAGUCGAACGGAGCUUAGAGAGCUUGCUUUUUAAGCUUAGUGGCGAACGGGUGAGUAACGCGUGAGUAACCUGCCCUAGAGUGGGGGACAACAGUUGGAAACGACUGCUAAUACCGCAUAAGCCCACGGUGCCGCAUGACACUGAGGGAAAAGGAUUUAUUCGCUUUAGGAUGGACUCGCGUCCAAUUAGCUAGUUGGUGAGGUAACGGCCCACCAAGGCGACGAUUGGUAGCCGGACUGAGAGGUUGAACGGCCACAUUGGGACUGAGACACGGCCCAGACUCCUACGGGAGGCAGCAGUGGGGGAUAUUGCACAAUGGGGGAAACCCUGAUGCAGCGACGCCGCGUGGAGGAAGAAGGUUUUCGGAUUGUAAACUCCUGUCGUUAGGGACGAUAAUGACGGUACCUAACAAGAAAGCACCGGCUAACUACGUGCCAGCAGCCGCGGUAAAACGUAGGGUGCAAGCGUUGUCCGGAAUUACUGGGUGUAAAGGGAGCGCAGGCGGGAAGACAAGUUGGAAGUGAAAACCAUGGGCUCAACCCAUGAAUUGCUUUCAAAACUGUUUUUCUUGAGUAGUGCAGAGGUAGAUGGAAUUCCCGGUGUAGCGGUGGAAUGCGUAGAUAUCGGGAGGAACACCAGUGGCGAAGGCGGUCUACUGGGCACUAACU